RNAcentral lists this ribosomal RNA (1003 nucleotides) under uncultured Lysobacterales bacterium. RNAcentral describes it as "bacterial SSU rRNA". It matches the Rfam family "Bacterial small subunit ribosomal RNA", at positions 9 to 1001 of the family's 1533-position model. Lineage: Bacteria; Pseudomonadati; Pseudomonadota; Gammaproteobacteria; Lysobacterales. The record is from RNAcentral.
GAGUUUGAUCGUGGCUCAGAUUGAACGCUGGCGGCAUGCCUUACACAUGCAAGUCGAACGGUAGCAGGUCUUUUUGGAUGCUGAUGAGUGGCGGACGGGUGAGGAAUACAUCGGAAUCUGCUCAGUCGUGGGGGAUAACGCAUGGAAACGUGCGCUAAUACCGCAUACGACCUUCGGGUGAAAGCAGGGGAAUCUUUAGGGAUCCUUGCGCGAUUGAAUGAGCCGAUGUCGGAUUAGCUAGUUGGUAGGGUAAAAGCCUACCAAGGCGACGAUCCGUAGCUGGUCUGAGAGGAUGAUCAGCCACACUGGGACUGAGACACGGCCCAGACUCCUGCGGGAGGCAGCAGUGGGGAAUAUUGGACAAUGGGGGCAACCCUGAUCCAGCCAUACCGCGUGGGUGAAGAAGGCCUUCUGGGUUGUAAAGCCCUUUUGUUGGGGAAGAAAAACAACGGGUUAAUACCCCGUUGGUAUGACGGUACCCAAAGAAUAAGCACCGGCUAACUUCGUGCCAGCAGCCGCGGUAAUACGAAGGGUGCAAGCGUUACUCGGAAUUACUGGGCGUAAAGGGUGCGUAGGUGGUUGCGCCAGUCUGUCGUGAAAGCCCUGGGCUUAACCUGGGAAUGGCGAUGGAAACUGUGCAACUAGAGUGUGACAGAGGGUGGUGGAAUUCCUGGUGUAGCAGUGAAAUGCGUAGAGAUCAGGAGGAACAUUCGUGGCGAAGGCGGCCACCUGGGUCAACACUGACACUGAGGCACGAAAGCGUGGGGAGCAAACAGGAUUAGAUACCCUGGUAGUCCACGCCCUAAACGAUGCGAACUGGAUGUUGGGUCCAACUUGGGAUUCAGUAUCGAAGCUAACGCAUUAAGUUCGCCGCCUGGGGAGUACGGUCGCAAGACUGAAACUCAAAGGAAUUGACGGGGGCCCGCACAAGCGGUGGAGUAUGUGGUUUAAUUCGAUGCAACGCGCAGAACCUUACCUGGCCUUGACAUGCACGGAACCUUUG